RNAcentral lists this ribosomal RNA (396 nucleotides) under uncultured Nitrospina sp. Its description in RNAcentral is "bacterial SSU rRNA". It matches the Rfam family "Bacterial small subunit ribosomal RNA", at positions 28 to 410 of the family's 1533-position model. Lineage: Bacteria; Pseudomonadati; Nitrospinota; Nitrospinia; Nitrospinales; Nitrospinaceae. The record is from RNAcentral.
GAUGAACGCUGGCGGCGUGCCUAACACAUGCAAGUCGAACGAGAAAGUUUACCUUUCGGGAAACCGUAGUAAAGUAGGCGCAAGGGUGGAGUAACACGUGAAUAAUCUGCCUAUGAAUUCGGGAUAACUCGACGAAAGUUGUUGCUAAUACCGGAUAAGACCACGUCUCUUAUGUGAUGUGGCCAAAGGAGUCUCAAACUCCGUUUAUAGAUGAGUUCGCGGACCAUUAGCUUGUUGGCGGGAUAACAGCCCACCAAGGCGACGAUGGUUAGCCGGCCUGAGAGGGUGAUCGGCCACACUGGAACUGAGACACGGUCCAGACUCCUACGGGAGGCAGCAGUGGGGAAUAUUGCACAAUGGAGGCAACUCUGAUGCAGCAAUGUCGCGUGAGUGAAG